UGGAAACACUCACUUCAUUAUGGAACAAAGAGCAGGCAAGUGAUGCAGGGAAUGAAUUAUCUGGAUCAAAUAUUGUUGGUCUUAUUCAAACCCUAAUUAAAAACCAAGAUCAGAGGCAGAAUUUCUUUCAGGAUAUUUUCCCGGCAAAAU
Lampris incognitus (smalleye Pacific opah) is the source of this 150-nucleotide long non-coding RNA. RefSeq lists it as uncharacterized. The transcript is spliced from 3 exons. NCBI's taxonomy places the organism in Eukaryota, Metazoa, Chordata, Actinopteri, Lampriformes, Lampridae. The record is from RefSeq and is a predicted model, not a curated record.